AUUGAACGCUGGCGGCAUGCCUUACACAUGCAAGUCGAACGGCAGCGCGGGGCAACCUGGCGGCGAGUGGCGAACGGGUGAGUAACAUAUCGGAACAUACCCUAGAGUGGGGGAUAACGUAGCGAAAGUUACGCUAAUACCGCAUACGCACUAAGGUGGAAAGUGGGGGAUUCGCAAGAACCUCAUGCUCAUGGAGUGGCCGAUAUCUGAUUAGCUAGUUGGUGAGGUAAAGGCUCACCAAGGCGACGAUCAGUAGCUGGUUUGAGAGAACGACCAGCCACACUGGAACUGAGACACGGUCCAGACUCCUACGGAGGCAGCAGUGGGGAAUUUUGGACAAUGGGGGCAACCCUGAUCCAGCAAUGCCGCGUGAGUGAAGAAGGCCUUC
This 388-nucleotide ribosomal RNA is filed under the name uncultured bacterium. RNAcentral describes it as "bacterial SSU rRNA". It matches the Rfam family "Bacterial small subunit ribosomal RNA", at positions 30 to 419 of the family's 1533-position model. The record is from RNAcentral.